GGAAAAGGGGGGGAGGGGAGGGGCAUCGACAGAAGGUAUAAAAGCCGCUGCCCGCCUUCUCUCUCUCAAGACCCUCCACCACCAGCGACCUAUCUACUGCUGUGAGGUAGCGGAUCUUCCUCGACCGACUAACACACGCCCAGCCCGCGCCAACUCCCACGCCGUCAGGAUGGUUGUCUCCUCCCGCAUGCUCGCCGCCCACACCAACGGCUACCCCCUCGACGCCAAGGCCCGAUUCUGGUCCAACUACUACAGGUCCCUCAAGGACAUCACCAGACAGGAGCAUCGCCCACGCGUCUCUGAGUCAUUGCCUUCGCGCUCAGCUCCGUCUCAGUACUCCGGCCCCGCUGUCUACCCCAAGAGCACCUUCCCCCUGGUCCUGAACACGAUAUCCCCCUCAGUGCGCCCGACCUGCCAUCUGUAGGCGACUGGCGGCGACGAUGUGUGGGCCUGAUGCCUGCCCCGAUGCUGGUACUGGUCCCUUCCACACUAGCCACCAUUACCACCACCACCACCACUACCACCGCCAUCACCACCGCCACCGCCACCACCUCCCCAAAUAAGUCUUUCUGGCCCGCCACGGAGCGUCUGUGAGUCAUGGAGCUUCGGAGCGGCUCAGAGGUUCACGGUUCACGGUUCAGACCAACGAUUCGAAUCUUUUUCUCUCGAUCGCACUUUUUCCGUUCUUUUUUUCAUUAGUGUUUUGAAAAUGUGAAUGGAAUUUGUCUUUAUGUGUGGAUAUAUGUAUGUGUGUGUACGUUUUAUAGCUAUACACGCACAUACAUAGAUACAUACAUGCAUUACGAUAGUGUGGGUGAUGAGAAUGGGAAAUACAGAGAAAAAGGAUAGUUUAAACGUAUACAUAUUAUUGCUCUCGUAUAUGUAUUAAGUUUAAGGUCUUUGAAUGUGAGAUAGUGUAUCGUCAUAAGCCUGAAAGAAAAAUUUUGUAUAAAAAAUCUUGACGAAAAAGCACAACAGUUGUAUUUCUGAAAACCCUUGACGGAGCCAGACUUUGCAUGGAGGACUAAAGAAGAUGUAAAUUGGUAAACAAAAUAAAUGGGCGACCUUGAAAAAAAUGUAAAUCAUCAUCAUCUUAAUCAUCAUCAUCACUACUACGAUAAACAAACAAACAAACAAACAAACAGGUAAGAAACACACAGGUACCAAUUAACAUCUUUACUGAAUCUUAAAAUCAGUGAAUCAUUAAAAUUUGAUCAUGCAAGCAAGCGACUGACCGAGCGAGAGAGAGAGAGAGAGAGAGAGAGAGAGAGAGAGAGAGAGAGAGAGAGAGAGAGAGAGAGAGAGAGAGAGAGAGAGAGAGAGAGAGAGAGAGAGAGAGAGAGAGAGAGAGAGAGAGAGAGAGAGAGGAAAUGGUUCUGAGCGGUGUAAAGAAAAUCAGAUAAGAGAGAGAGAGAGAGAGAGAGAGAGAGAGAGAGAGAGAGAGAGAGAGAGAGAGAGAGAGAGAGAGAGAGAA
Molecule: long non-coding RNA, 1474 nt
Organism: Eriocheir sinensis (Chinese mitten crab)
Lineage: Eukaryota; Metazoa; Arthropoda; Malacostraca; Decapoda; Varunidae
Exons: 4
Source: RefSeq, a predicted model, not a curated record